Molecule: long non-coding RNA, 2516 nt
Organism: Papaver somniferum (opium poppy)
Lineage: Eukaryota; Viridiplantae; Streptophyta; Magnoliopsida; Ranunculales; Papaveraceae
Exons: 6
Source: RefSeq, a predicted model, not a curated record
GAGAAGUCAUUUUCUCUUUUCUUUCUUAUUCUUUUUCUCUUUCCUUUUUAUUCCUUCUCUCUGGCGAUUCUGAGGAGCGAUUGUUGAACUGAGAGAUCGAGAAGAACAAAUCAAGAAAACCGAUGAUAAGAGAUGAUGUUGUUGUGGAUCAGGAUGAAGAACAAUUAAGGGAGUGUUGGGAUUUCGUCUGUGGUGACAAACAAAGAGAAGCAGAAUUAGGGUUCUUAGAUUUGAAUGAUGUUCUGAAGGUUUUCAAGAUCAUGUGUAGAGCUACUGCUAGAUACAGAAGCGUGGGUAGUCGUUUAAUUGAGUUUUCGAAGUUGAUUCGGUGGUGAAUUGAAGAAUUAGGGUUUCUCAAGAUGAACUGGAAGUCGAUUUGUGAUGUAUAAGAAGAAUUAAUGAGUGGGUUUAAUAGAUUGCGGAUCGAUAUGGGGUUAAUUAGGUGCUAUAGAGUUGUUCUUGAGGAAAUGAAGAGUUGGGGUUUCACAGGAAAGCUCGGGGAAGAUUAAAAAGAGGAAGUUGUUGUUUUAGGAGAUUAAAUUAAGGUUGGGUUUGCUCUGAAUUGAAGUUUAGUUGGAUGUAUUGGAUUAAUUUAAAUUGUAUGAGAAAUUGAAUCAGAAAUUAGGGUUUUUGAGAAUAGAAGAUGGUGAUGAAGAUUAGGAGUCUGACAUCGAGAAAAGAAGGAUACAAUGGAGGAAACCAGUUGGUGAUGGUGGUGUCAGUUCAGAUGUUGAUUCAAAUCAAGAAGAAUCGGAUAAGGUAAAUAAGGGUUCUCUUAUUUGAAUAUGUUUUCAUGGAAUUGAGUAUGACUUGAUGGAUUAUUUCAUGGGUUUGUGUUGUUAUUUGAAUUCCUGAGUUUAUGCCUCGGAUGAUGAAGUUGUGUAUGUGUGUUGGGUGAUAGAGAUGGAGUUUGCAGAUGAUAUAUUCAUUAUGCUUGAAUAGAAUUUGGUGGUGCUAUGGCAGGUGGCGAUGAAUAUUUUGGUUACAGAGGCAUUGGCGGUGAUUGCAGUGAGGAGGUGAAGAUGUUAAUGAGAGUUAUAGCUAUAAUCUGGUGGAGUUACAGUUAAGGAUUAGAUGAAUGGUUAGGGAUUAUAUGUGAACUGAUGAUGCAGGUAUUUUGGUUUAGUAAGUGCAAAUUCAUGAUGUUGUUAAGAAGAGAGCUGAAUUGCAAAGUUCAUAGGAUAAAUGAGAAUUCAGGGCAUGAGAUUGGUGUUAUCUGAAUUUGAGAAUAAGGCAUGAGAUGUGUUUUAGAGGUGAUUGUGUUGAACUGAACUGGGUUGAGGCAGUUCACUGCUUAGCUGCAGUUGUAAGGAUUUGGAGGUGCAAGUGAACUUCAGCAAGAAGAAUGUGCCUUCAGUUGAGGAUGUUGUGGAUUAGUAUUGUAGCUAGCUGAGUGUAGAAGGAGUCUGGCUUAGUACUGCAAUUGCAGUUAGUCUAUAUUAACAACGAUCGAUUCAAAGGAUGAACCGGAGGAUCGUGGAUCGGCUUGUCAUCAAAAGAGUUUCAGAGACAUACUAGAGUUGCGCAGCGAAAGCUCCGAGAAGUUGACUUCUUUAGUUGGUUAUAAUCUGAUAUGUUUAUUAUGUUGUAUAUUCUAUUUGUAAACCAAAUGACUAUUUUAUAUGUAUCAUUUGAGAGAAUAUCUUGUAUAUAUAUUUCUGAGCGGGGUUAGUUUUAGGUUAAGUUUUAUAGCAGAUUUCUUAUUUGUUUGUUUCAGUAAAUGUAUUAGUUUUAGUGCCCCUGUCUUUAGUUAAUCUCUUGGAUAAGUCAGUUGUUAGCUUAGGGGGCGCUACAUGUGUGGUUUGGGUUUUGUUGUAUUUUUUUGCGCAGGUGACUGCAGUGAAGGUCAAUUAAAGUAGUAGCCACCCGGGGGAAUAUCAAUAUCUGGUAAGUACACUUCUUUUGCUUAUACUUAUCAUAUUGAGUUUUGUUGGAUACUAAUCUUCAGUAUAUAAUUGCUUUUGAGGUAAUAUGCUGUUCGUGAUGUUGCUACAGGAUUAUGUUGUUGUUGACCUUUCUCCGUUUCAGUAUGUCUAUUAACAACAAAAUAUGAAGAUAGAUUCAGGAAUCAGCAAAAGCUUAUGUCUUGUGUUGUCCGGCUUCCCAUUCUGCACCGACCUGUGAAUUUUCAAUUCCCUUUGUUGUCCUUCAACAUGAUGUAGAUACACUCACAGCAGCAGUACGUAGUUUCUGAAUGUUCAUGAUCAACAACUACUCUGAAACGAAGGUAUUUGGGCUUAAGUCAAAAAGCAGUACUCUGGUAAUAUUUUAGAAGCAGUUGAAUCUUUGCUGAGGAGACUGGUUAAGCAAGCGGAGUCUGGUGAUAUUUAGUAUUUCUUUCCCUGUUUUUCAAUGCCUCUGUCAGUUGACACAAACUAGGUUACCCAUCCAUUUAUAAACAUCAACAUAGAUCGAAUAUUGUAUGUCAGUCACAACAUACAUAAGUUUACUUGUGUACAUUUGUAUCAAUUGAAGAAUCCUUUCUUUUAUGAUAAUAUUAUCAGUGGUGAUUCUCG